Molecule: ribosomal RNA, 506 nt
Filed under: uncultured bacterium
Lineage: Bacteria
Description: partial 16S ribosomal RNA
Rfam family: Bacterial small subunit ribosomal RNA
Source: RNAcentral
AGUGAACGCUGGCGGUAGGCCUAACACAUGCAAGUCGAACGGCAGCACAGGAGAGCUUGCUCUCUGGGUGGCGAGUGGCGGACGGGUGAGGAAUACAUCGGAAUCUACUUUUUCGUGGGGGAUAACGUAGGGAAACUUACGCUAAUACCGCAUACGACCUACGGGUGAAAGCAGGGGACCUUCGGGCCUUGCGCGAUUGAAUGAGCCGAUGUCGGAUUAGCUAGUUGGCGGGGUAAAGGCCCACCAAGGCGACGAUCCGUAGCUGGUCUGAGAGGAGGAUCAGCCACACUGGAACUGAGACGCGGUCCAGACUCCUACGGGAGGCAGCAGUGGGGAAUAUUGGACAAUGGGCGCAAGCCUGAUCCAGCCAUACCGCGUGGGUGAAGAAGGCCUUCGGGUUGUAAAGCCCUUUUGUUGGGAAAGAAAUCCAGCUGGCUAAUACCCGGUUGGGAUGACGGUACCCAAAGAAUAAGCACCGGCUAACUUCGUGCCAGCAGCCGCCGUAA